RNAcentral lists this ribosomal RNA (319 nucleotides) under uncultured eukaryote. RNAcentral describes it as "partial 18S ribosomal RNA". It matches the Rfam family "Eukaryotic small subunit ribosomal RNA", at positions 1470 to 1796 of the family's 1831-position model. The record is from RNAcentral.
CCCUUAGAUGUUCUGGGCUGCACGCGUGCUACAAUGGCGUUUCCAGCAAGUCUGCGAACCCGAGAGGGCCAGCGGAUCUUCGAAUUGGCGUCGUGAUCGGGACAGUCGAUUGCAAUUAUUUGACUCGAACGAGGAAUUCCUUGUAAUCGCGAUUCAUCAUAUCGCGCUGAAUACGUCCCUGCCCUUUGUACACACCGCCCGUCGCUCCUACCGAUUGAGCGAUCCGGUAAAUGUUUUGGAUUGGUGCCGGGGCGGCUAGCUGCCGGUCGCUACGAAAUUUUGUGAACCUUAUCGCUUAGAGGAAGGAAAAGUCGUAACA